CAGGCACAGCAUCCAUGGGAGUGACCAUGGAAACCCAUUUGCAUGCGCUGCUUUUCUUGCUAAGUGUCAUUCUUUUAACUGUUUCUUGCGUAAGAGGGCAACAGUAUGCAUCUGCUUUGGGAGACCCAGGAACGAGAAGAGAUGGAUUGAGAGUGGCCUUUGAAGCUUGGAAUUUCUGCAAUGAGGCUGGCAAAGAAGCUCCAGGCAUGGGAAGCCCAAGAGCUGCUGAUUGCUUCGAUCUCUCAAGUUCUACGCUUAAGCACAAGGUAACAGAAGAUGAUAACAAACUUGGGGUAGGCAAAAUAUUCCCAGG
RNAcentral lists this unclassified non-coding RNA (313 nucleotides) under Hevea brasiliensis (rubber tree). The record is from RNAcentral. Lineage: Eukaryota; Viridiplantae; Streptophyta; Magnoliopsida; Malpighiales; Euphorbiaceae.